UUUUUUAAUUGAAAACUAGAAUGAAAGGUUUAACGAAAUAUUAACUGUUUCAUAAAAAUUUUUAUAGAAAUUAAUUUUUUAGUAAAAAAGCUAAAAUAAAAUUAAAAGACGAGAAGACCCUAUAGAGUUUUAUAUAAAAAUUUUAUAAUUUAUAAAUAAAAAUUUAAAUUUUAUUUAUUUUUAUAUUUUGUUGGGGUGACAAUAAAAUUUAAUUAUCUUUUAUUAAUUUUUUACAAUGAUUUUUGAUUAAUUGAUCCAUUUUUAAUGAUUAUAAGAUUAAAUUACCUUAGGGAUAACAGCGUAAUUUUUUUGUAGAGUUCAUAUCGAUAAAAAUUUUUGC
RNAcentral lists this ribosomal RNA (340 nucleotides) under Mycetophila alea. Its description in RNAcentral is "partial 16S ribosomal RNA". Lineage: Eukaryota; Metazoa; Arthropoda; Insecta; Diptera; Mycetophilidae. The record is from RNAcentral.